This 77-nucleotide non-coding RNA is filed under the name Streptococcus thermophilus LMG 18311. The record is from RNAcentral. Lineage: Bacteria; Bacillati; Bacillota; Bacilli; Lactobacillales; Streptococcaceae.
AAUUUCUUAGAAAAAGUAGAUAAAUCGCCUUGGCUUCAUCGAACCUUGCAUCGGUUUUCUAUUUUUCUACAGAGAUU